This 449-nucleotide ribosomal RNA is filed under the name uncultured bacterium. Its description in RNAcentral is "bacterial SSU rRNA". It matches the Rfam family "Bacterial small subunit ribosomal RNA", at positions 335 to 800 of the family's 1533-position model. The record is from RNAcentral.
ACUCCUACGGGAGGCAGCAGUGGGGAAUAUUGCACAAUGGGGAAAGCCAUCGAUGCAGCAACGCCGCGUGAGUGAUGACGGUCUUCGGAUUGUAAAGCUCUGUCUUCAGGGACGAUAAUGACGGUACCUGAGGAGGAAGCCACGGCUAACUACGUGCCAGCAGCCGCGGUAAUACGUAGGUGGCAAGCGUUGUCCGGAUUUACUGGGCGUAAAGAGCUCGUAGGCGGUUUGUCACGUCUGCUGUGAAAAUCCAAGGCUCAACCUUGGACUUGCAGUGGGUACGGGCAGGCUAGAGUGCGGUAGGGGAGAUGGGAAUUCCUGGUGUAGCGGUGGAAUGCGCAGAUAUCAGGAGGAACACCAAUGGCGAAGGCACAUCUCUGGGCCGUAACUGACGCUGAGGAGCGAAAGCGUGGGGAGCGAACAGGAUUAGAUACCCUGGUAGGUCAGUC